UGUAUCCUACGGGGGGCAGCAGUGGGGAAUAUUGUACAAUGGGCGAAAGCCUGAUGGAGCAACGCCGCGUGGGUGAAGAAGGUCUUCGGAUCGUAAAACCCUGUUGUUAGAGAAGAAAGUGCGUGAGAGUAACUGUUCACGUUUCGACGGUAUCUAACCAGAAAGCCACGGCUAACUACGUGCCAGCAGCCGCGGUAAUACGUAGGUGGCAAGCGUUAUCCGGAUUUAUUGGGCGUAAAGGGAACGCAGGCGGUCUUUUAAGUCUGAUGUGAAAGCCUUCGGCUUAACCGGAGUAGUGCAUUGGG
RNAcentral lists this ribosomal RNA (305 nucleotides) under uncultured bacterium. RNAcentral describes it as "bacterial SSU rRNA". It matches the Rfam family "Bacterial small subunit ribosomal RNA", at positions 333 to 630 of the family's 1533-position model. The record is from RNAcentral.